This 1771-nucleotide long non-coding RNA is filed under the name Mus musculus (house mouse). Its description in RNAcentral is "predicted gene, 57242". The record is from RNAcentral. Lineage: Eukaryota; Metazoa; Chordata; Mammalia; Rodentia; Muridae.
AACCGCAGGGAUCACUCCUAUCACGGCUCAGCUACAGCCGUGCCUCUCAGAAAGAGGGGUUCCAGGGGACCAUUUAUCAUCAGCCAUCUGAAUCAGCCAUCUAUUAUGGCAUUGUUGCCCUUCUGAAAUGCUUUUAAAAUGCUGGCUUCUGUUUGUACUGAGAAAAAUGGAACCUCAUGCGUAAGAAGUCGUGGCAAUUUCACCACAGAGGACAUUGGGUCAAGCUACGCUCACAAAGCCCGGAACCGGAGGUCUCUCCUUCAAAGGCUGAACACCUCCAGUCUGUCUGAAAUCCAAUGGUAUGUACAUCCAAUGGCAUGUACUUCCAGGAGAUGAGAAGGAAGAUACCACAUGAAAGUGUGCGCAGACUGUGGUAUGCCUGUAAGCUGGGGAGGACAAAGACCAUCGGAGCCACGAAGCCAGAACACAUACAGGAAACACACUAUCUUCCAGGCACUCAAGGAGGAACCAAUCCCAUAGAGACCUUUGAUUUUGGACUUCUGCUUGCCUUUUCUCUCUCUUUCUUUCUUUCUUUCUUUCUUUCUUUCUUUCUUUCUUUCUUUCUUCCUUCCUUCCUUCCUUCCUUUCUUUCUUUCUUUCUUCCUCCUUUCUUUCUUUCUUUCUUUCUUUCUUUCUUACUUUCUUUCUUUCUUUCUUUCUUUCUUUUAUAAAAAAAGGAUUAAUUACCAAGCCAUUGGCUACUAUUUACCUGUGUAACCUGAGGUAAGUCAUUGAGUUGAUAUAGUAGUCUGUUUUGGAUCUCCACAAUGGGUAUUAAAAAAAGAGCCUCUUCCACAGAACUGCCUGGCUAAUAACCAACAGAGCCCAUGUAUUCCACAGUGCUUCAGGAAAUUGAUAAGUGGUGCCUGACUUGUUAUAAACAGCUGCAUGUGAGACAAGGGGGUAACCAUGGACACAGGGCUGUGCCCUUGAGAAAGGCAGAAAUGGGAGUUGUCUUAGCUAGUAGGGUUUUACUGCUGUCAACAGACACCAUGACCAAGGCAAGUCUUAUAAAAGAACAUUUAAUUGGGGCUGGCUUACAGACUCAGAGGUUCAGUCCAGCAUCAUCAAGGCAGGAACAUAGCAGCAUCCAGGCAGGCAUGAUGCAGGAGGAGCUGAGAGUUCUCCAUCUUCCUCUGAAGGCUAUUAGCAGAAUAUUCACUUCCAGACAGCUAGGACAAGGGUCUUAAGCCCAUCCCCACAGUGGCACACGUACUCCAAUGGGGCCAUACCUCCUAAUAGUGCCACUCUCUGGGCCGAGCAUAUACAAACCAUCACAGUGGUGAUAUGUAUGAAGAAGGUAGAAGUGAAUAGGGAAGACAGUGUAGCUUGCAAGGGAUCUGGUUUGAAAUAGGGGUAAGGGGAAUUGUGGGAGGGUGGGCAGGAUUUUGUAUGUCUUUGCUUGUUGCUGUAAACCAUGCCUGGCAUUAUUUAUACCUAACGCUGAGAGCAGGGUUAAAAAAAAUAACAUUAGAAGGAACACAGGCUUUGAAGGAACAAGAACAGUGGCCUUCUCUUUCUGGCACAUUUUAAGCAACAGUCUGUCCCACAGCCACCGGACGCCAUUAUCCAACACCACUGUGUGAAAAGCCCACAUGCCUGCAGCUGUGUGUGUGUGUGUGACCUUUUCAUUCUCUCAAUCCUCAAUGACAAAGCAUGGGAAGUAAAGAAGAGGUAAGUUCCUUCGUGACAGCAAUGGGGCUGAGGGCGAGGGUUCGGGCACAAUGGGGUGUUUGAGAAUGCAGAUAAAUAAAAGAACAUUGUAUAAGCA